RNAcentral lists this long non-coding RNA (511 nucleotides) under Sorghum bicolor (sorghum). RNAcentral describes it as "long non-coding RNA (SBIC_LNC013813)". Lineage: Eukaryota; Viridiplantae; Streptophyta; Magnoliopsida; Poales; Poaceae. The record is from RNAcentral.
AGGUGGGCAUCUUUGUGCCCCUAAUUCUACUCCAGACACUUGUCCAUUUUUACCUCUCGUCUCACUCUUUUUUUUCUUUUUCGAGGUUACGGGCACUUGCUCCUUUUUAUUUCCUCGCAUAUUUUUGCAUAACCCAUGCCUCUUCUGCAUAGACUCUUUUUGGAGAGAGAGAAUAACAACACUUGGGACAGUGAGUGAUAAUAUUUUUUAGCAAUUUUAAGGAAUGGUGGUGGAUGGUGUAGUAGAUGUGUGCAAGUGAAUAUCUUAAUUUAACCACAUGAAAAACUCCUAAGGGUCUACACAGCUCGAUCAAACUCAAUGUAAAUAUAAGUAGCAAAAGAUGUUAUAGCAAGUAUGGCUGUGAUAGGAAUUUUGUCAUGCUAGGAACUCAUCAUGUGAUUUGCAAGUUUUCAAAAUAAAUCUCCAGAACUCAGUGUUGUAAGAACAAGAUAAACAGUAGCUCAAACUUUAUAUCAUGCCUUUCUCUUACCCAAACUUUAGUUUUAGGUUC